Long non-coding RNA from Vitis riparia (riverbank grape), 765 nucleotides. RefSeq lists it as uncharacterized. The record is from RefSeq and is a predicted model, not a curated record. NCBI's taxonomy places the organism in Eukaryota, Viridiplantae, Streptophyta, Magnoliopsida, Vitales, Vitaceae. The transcript is spliced from 3 exons.
ACCAACCGAUUAAUUCGGGCACGAGUCUCUCUCCCGUUAGGAGAAGCUUCAGAGGAGAGGUUGAGAGUGAGAGAGAGAAAAGUGUCGCCAAAGUCAUCUUCUUCUUCUGAUCUCUCUCUUCAGGCUGAAGCGGAGGAGGGCGGAACAUUACCAGAAGUUGGGGUAGCAAAUUAGCAAUGGAAUGGUGGGAUAAGAUGAUGUUUCCCAUGCGAACAGUCUGGAACGGCGUUGCUAAGCGUUUUGGAAUUCGAAAAACUGGCCUACUGAAGCUGCGAAAUGACGUGAGGACUUGUGAGUAUAGGGAUGUGCAUGUGAUGUGGGAGAUGUUAAAUGGAACUGAAACAGAGCUCAGUCGGUCCCCUGAGAGAUCCACUGGGAAUAGCAAAAAGAGAACAUAUUGGAAAAUAAUUGAGUGGGCCAAGCGUGCUCCAUAUCUUUGCCGCAGUUUUUGAUCAUGUUAUGAAUGGUGCUUGUGAGCUUGUUGAGCUUAUGAACUUGGUCAGCUUUAUCUCAGAUGUAUGGAUGUGAAUCCUGUGGAAUAAAAGAGAAGAGAAGGGGAUGGGGGCCUGGUAUGCAAUAGUGUCUGUUUUCCCUGUUCAUCCAACCAUGUAUAGAGGUCAGCUUUCCCCCUCCCAGUGGAUAUUGUUCCGUCUCUUCCUUCUCUUCACGCUGUCUCCUAUGUAAUAAAUGAUGGGUAUCUAGAAAAUGGGUUCUGAGUUUUCUCUAUCAGACCUUGUUUCUUCAUCCAAAUGCCUUCUUUAUUCU